RNAcentral lists this ribosomal RNA (507 nucleotides) under uncultured Methanotrichaceae archaeon. RNAcentral's name for it is "bacterial SSU rRNA". It matches the Rfam family "Archaeal small subunit ribosomal RNA", at positions 519 to 1025 of the family's 1478-position model. The record is from RNAcentral. Lineage: Archaea; Methanobacteriati; Methanobacteriota; Methanomicrobia; Methanotrichales; Methanotrichaceae.
UUGUGCCGGCCGGAUAAGUCUCUUGGGAAAUCCAGCAGCUCAACUGUUGGGCUUUCAGGAGAUACUGUCUGGCUCGAGGCCGGGAGAGGUGAGAGGUACUUCAGGGGUAGGGGUGAAAUCUUGUAAUCCUUGAAGGACCACCAGUGGCGAAGGCGUCUCACCAGAACGGACCUGACGGCAAGGGACGAAAGCUAGGGGCACGAACCGGAUUAGAUACCCGGGUAGUCCUAGCCGUAAACGAUACUCGCUAGGUGUCGGCCACGGUGCGACCGUUGUCGGUGCCGUAGGGAAGCCGUGAAGCGAGCCACCUGGGAAGUACGGCCGCAAGGCUGAAACUUAAAGGAAUUGGCGGGGGAGCACCACAACGGGUGGAGCUUGCGGUUUAAUUGGAUUCAACGCCGGAAAUCUUACCGGGACCGACAGCAAUAUGAAGGCCAGGCUGAAGACUUUGCCGGAUUAGCUGAGAGGUGGUGCAUGGCCGUCGUCAGUUCGUACUGUGGAAACAUA